GGUUUUAGUCGGUAGGUCCGAGGACUCCUUCCUCGGGAAUCCGACACUACCCAGUCGUACGGACGGCUGGGUAUCUUUUGAAGAUUUCCCCUCUUCCACGAAA
Non-coding RNA from Agrilus planipennis (emerald ash borer), 103 nucleotides. The record is from Rfam. NCBI's taxonomy places the organism in Eukaryota, Metazoa, Arthropoda, Insecta, Coleoptera, Buprestidae.